GCCGACGUAGCUCAGGGGUAGAGCAAUGGUUUCGUAAACCAUCGGUCGGGAGUUCGAAUCUCCCCGUCGGCUCCA
This 75-nucleotide transfer RNA is filed under the name Candidatus Dormiibacterota bacterium. RNAcentral describes it as "tRNA-Thr". It matches the Rfam family "tRNA". From Rfam's summary of the family: Transfer RNA (tRNA) molecules are approximately 80 nucleotides in length. The record is from RNAcentral. Lineage: Bacteria; Bacillati; Candidatus Dormiibacterota.